CAGCAGCCUGACAUCCAAACUCAGAGGGCCUGAACACGGUAAUGUCCUCCAGAAACUAUCCCCAGGUGACCGGACCGUCGCCAGGUGCUCUGUCAGAGGCAGACCUCACUAUCUGCGGAUCUACCACAGUGGGGACUCGAGAGCCGGAGCAGCAGAGUCGAGGGAACGGCGACAGUACAGAAGAAACGAUCCCUCUCUCACAAAUAACCAAACGGUCGAUGUGAGAUAAUAACAGAGCCGAAUACUUUGGAGCUGCUUAUCUAAAAAUACUGCUCUCUGAAGGAGUGUUUGGGAGUGAAACAGCGUCAACCCCUUCAUGAACCAUGUUGAAUGUGGAACAUUUUCUCAAUCAAAACAAAAAGCAGUGAAACCUGCUCUAAACUGCUCUCCAGCCCCUCCCAGCCCCCCCAUCCCCCAACCUCCACUACCUCUACCACAGCAAAUUGUGCAGGAAAGCACCUGAGCGCAGGAGAGUACAGCUUUUAUUAAUCUUUCUUUUUCUCAAUUCUUUGAGUCUGACAGCUUUUAACUGAAUUGUCUGCUCGGGCCCGUGUAGACCCGUGGAGUCCAGACACAGGCCGGUGAACGCUGUGACAUCUCCACUCCCCUCAGCUCUAGUGCUGCUGCCUUCAUCCAAUUUACCAUGAAAGGAAUCCAGACAGUCCCAUAAUAUGUCCCACGACUGCCUCGAUUGAACACGGUCAACAACUCUGGGCCUGGGCUUCACACACAUAACCAGCCGGCUAUCUACAGAGGACCAUUGGCUGCCUGUUACCCCUUGAUAAGGCCCAUUGCCCAGGGAAAGACUGGACAGGUCCAUCUGGCGGCAUUUUAUAGUGAGGAGCGCCCCCUGGUGCCUCUGUGGGCACAGCACAGUUACAGGGGCAAGUGAGUCGUAAACACAUCGCCUGUAACUGUGGUCGGGGGGGGGGGGGUUCUACUGUCAGACACAGAUUACAGCAGUGUUUCCUCUCUAAUUUCACGCAGCAGCGGUGCUUGGGGUGAUAUUUUUGUUGUUUUUUAUUCCACAUCCAUCCUCGUGUCAGUCACAGUUAUCUUUCUAAUGCAGGCGACUGCAGUGAAUAUUUUUUUUCUUCACACACUUUAUCACAAUGAAAACAUGAUUUGUCAGCGUUAGGGCUGUACCUCCAUUUGUUUUGAGGGAAAAUGAGAAAAAAAAUAUAGAGCUAAUUUAAUGUCUCUUUUUUUUUUCUUGCUGUGGUUGUC
Molecule: long non-coding RNA, 1227 nt
Organism: Dicentrarchus labrax (European seabass)
Lineage: Eukaryota; Metazoa; Chordata; Actinopteri; Moronidae
Exons: 3
Source: RefSeq, a predicted model, not a curated record